ACUCAAAGGAAUAGACGGGUGCCCGCACAAGCAGUGGAGUAUGUGGAUUAAUUCGACGCAACGCGAAGAACCUUACCAGGGCUUGACAUCCUGCUAACGAAGUAGAGAUACAUCAGGUGCCCUUCGGGGAAAGCAGAGACAGGUGGUGCAUGGUUGUCGUCAGCUCGUGUCGUGAGAUGUUGGGUUAAGUCCCGCAACGAGCGCAACCCUUACGGUUAGUUGCUACGCGAGAGCACUCUAGCCGGACUGCCGUUGACAAAACGGAGGAAGGUGGGGACGAGGUCAAAUCAUCAUGCCCCUUAUGUCCUGGGCUUCACACGUACUACAAUGGCGGUCAACAGAGGGCAGCGAAGGCGCGAGCCGGAGCCAAUCCCCAAAAGCCGCCUCAGUUCAGAUCGCAGGCUGCAACUCGCCUGCGUGAAGUCGGAAUUGCUAGUAAUCGCGAAUCAGCAUGUCGCGGUGAAUACGUUCCCGGGCAUUGUACACACCGCCCGU
Molecule: ribosomal RNA, 495 nt
Filed under: uncultured bacterium
Lineage: Bacteria
Description: bacterial SSU rRNA
Rfam family: Bacterial small subunit ribosomal RNA
Source: RNAcentral